UGGGGAAUAUUGCACAAUGGGCGAAAGCCUGAUGCAGCAACGCCGCGUGAGCGAAGAAGGCCUUCGGGUCGUAAAGCUCUGUCCUCAAGGAAGAUAAUGACGGUACUUGAGGAGGAAGCCCCGGCUAACUACGUGCCAGCAGCCGCGGUAAUACGUAGGGGGCAAGCGUUAUCCGGAUUUACUGGGCGUAAAGGGUGCGCAGGCGGUCUUACAAGUCAGGAGUGAAAGGCUACGGCUCAACCGUAGUAAGCUCUUGAAACUGUUAGACUUGAGUGCAGGAGAGGAGAGUGGAAUUCCUAGUGUAGCGGUGAAAUGCGUAGAUAUUAGGAGGAACACCAGUUGCGAAGGCGGCUCUCUGGACUGUAACUGACGCUGAGGCACGAAAGCGUGGGGAGCAAACA
Molecule: ribosomal RNA, 401 nt
Filed under: uncultured bacterium
Lineage: Bacteria
Description: bacterial SSU rRNA
Rfam family: Bacterial small subunit ribosomal RNA
Source: RNAcentral